RNAcentral lists this ribosomal RNA (394 nucleotides) under uncultured euryarchaeote. RNAcentral describes it as "bacterial SSU rRNA". It matches the Rfam family "Archaeal small subunit ribosomal RNA", at positions 347 to 745 of the family's 1478-position model. The record is from RNAcentral. Lineage: Archaea; Methanobacteriati; Methanobacteriota.
ACUUCACACUGCGGGAAACUGUGAUGAGGGAACUCCUAGUGCAUGCACUAUGUGUAUGUAGAUCCUACUCUUAACAAGUAGAGGGAAAGGGCUGGGAAAGACCGGUGCCAGCCGCCGCGGUAAUACCGGCAGCUCAAGUGGUCGUCGCUUUUAUUGGGCCUAAAACGUCCGUAGCCUGUUUGGUAAAUCUGUGGGUAAAUCAACCUGCUCAACGGGUUGAAUUCUGCAGAGACUGCCAGACUAGGGACCGGGAGAGGUGUGGGGUACUCGAGGGGUAGGGGUAAAAUCCUGUCAUCCUUCGAGGACCACCAGUUGCGAAGGCGCCACACUGGAACGGAUCCGACGGUCAGGGACGAAGCCUAGGGGCACGAACCGGAUUAGAUACCCGCGUAGU